CAGGUCUUGACAUCCUCUGACAACCCUAGAGAUAGGGCGUUCCCCUUCGGGGGACAGAGUGACAGGUGGUGCAUGGUUGUCGUCAGCUCGUGUCGUGAGAUGUUGGGUUAAGUCCCGCAACGAGCGCAACCCUUGAUCUUAGUUGCCAGCAUUCAGUUGGGCACUCUAAGGUGACUGCCGGUGACAAACCGGAGGAAGGUGGGGAUGACGUCAAAUCAUCAUGCCCCUUAUGACCUGGGCUACACACGUGCUACAAUGGAUGGAACAAAGGGCAGCGAAGCCGCGAGGUGAAGCCAAUCCCAUAAAACCAUUCUCAGUUCGGAUUGCAGGCUGCAACUCGCCUGCAUGAAGCUGGAAUCGCUAGUAAUCGCGGAUCAGCAUGCCGCGGUGAAUACGUUCCC
RNAcentral lists this ribosomal RNA (401 nucleotides) under uncultured bacterium. Its description in RNAcentral is "bacterial SSU rRNA". It matches the Rfam family "Bacterial small subunit ribosomal RNA", at positions 975 to 1375 of the family's 1533-position model. The record is from RNAcentral.